Long non-coding RNA from Oncorhynchus kisutch (coho salmon), 586 nucleotides. RefSeq lists it as uncharacterized. Lineage: Eukaryota; Metazoa; Chordata; Actinopteri; Salmoniformes; Salmonidae. The record is from RefSeq and is a predicted model, not a curated record. The transcript has 2 exons.
UGUAAACAAUUGUUUAUUUUGUGGAUAAUAUGUAACAGUAUACACUGCAGUAUUUUAAGGAUUUACCUGUCCAUUGGACUCGCAUGAGCUGAACAUUGCCACAGUAGGCUACCCAUCUCUUACAGUACUGUUACACGAUUUUAGAGUGACAAAUUGUCAGAAGCCCACACUUUAAUUUGCCUUUUCAAAUUUCUAAACGUUCUAACCUAAAGUCCUAAACGUUUUACCCCAGGCAUUCUAGAAAAGUUGGACUGUUCAACUUCAAAGAAUAGCUAACGUUACAUGGCUAUACACCACGCUGGCUCCAUGAUCUCUAAAACGCUUGGUUAACCUGGAAUUCUGGAUCUUCCUGAUGCUUCAACCACACUGGCCAAAAAACGGUCUGGUGUCAACUCAAACGGUGUGUUAUUUCUGCGUACACUGCUUAUUGGGACUGAAAAGCUUUUGAUACGUUUCCUCAGAUGCAUUUAGCACACGUGUCCUGCUACUCAUCCCAUUUGAAGUUCUCAGCAUCACCAUUAUAAUUUGCUGGUCUAGAGUGGAAACCUGAACCUACCAUAAAGUAAUACUUGUCUUGCGCAUUGAA